Long non-coding RNA from Perognathus longimembris pacificus (Pacific pocket mouse), 1292 nucleotides. RefSeq lists it as uncharacterized. The record is from RefSeq and is a predicted model, not a curated record. The transcript has 3 exons. Lineage: Eukaryota; Metazoa; Chordata; Mammalia; Rodentia; Heteromyidae.
CUGAAUGGAAAGAGAGUGGGUCAGACAAGGGACUCACUGCCUGCAGGCCCACUGCCCGAAGGCAGUGAGUAUGACUAUUUCCUGCGCACUCUGUUCAUAGUGCUCUCUGAGGACUACAGGCUCUCUUCCAGUCAGCAGACAGGGCCUGACUGCUAAACACUCACUGACAGCCAUCUUGCCUUCUCCUAAGCUCUUAAGUUUCUUAGUCUAGUUUUGCUUUGUUUUCUUCCAGAAUUUUGCAGCGUUCAGGAAAGAGUAAGACCAGAGAACAACAACAAAAAAGAGUAUCUGGAGAGAGAAGGUAAGAGAUGUUUUAUUAUAUUCUUUAUUAGAUCUUUUAAUACUCUUAGAAAUUAUCAAAUAAAAAUGUAAUUAAAUUCAGGAAACUAAGUCAAACUAAAUGAAAGACCUGUAGUUACAAGUAACAAUGUGGAUGAAUCACACAAGUGUAAUAUUGAAGAUGGAAUGUACAAGGGAGUUCAAUGUUACAUAUAUAUAUAUAUAUAUGCAUAAUUAAAAUGUUUAGGGCAGCAAACCAGUAGUCCACUGAAAAGAAAAUGAGUGAAAGAAAUAUUAUACAAAAAAGCUACAUUUGGUUGGUCUAGACUGCGAAGGGACUCACAGGUCUGAGGGCGACCUCUUCUUGCUGGAAGGAUUCUAUUUGCUAUCUUGCUUUGGUGUAGCAUGGAUGUUCUCCCUAUUCGUCAUUAAAUUAUAUAUUUUCAGCUUAUGUCAUUUUCAGGAUAGGUAUUACUAUUUCACGUAAAUGCUAAAAACUAGCAAUCAACAGCACAAAAAAAGUGGCAAAACUGGUAAGCACACAACUACAAGAAGGAGAGAGAGGAGAUCCCCAGUGGCCCUGAUGCACAAGAGCCACAGAGGACCACGCUGGGAGGAGGAGCCUCUUAAGAGGAAACUGAGCAGGCUCAGAAAGAGACCGUACUUGUCCUAGAAAGCAAGGACUGGAGUCUAGGUGCUCCAGAGAAGUACCUUUUCUCUCUGCUCCUCACUCAGUGGAUCGUAUCAACAGCUGUCUACCCUAGACAUUCCUGCUGUGGGUUCUGGUGUUUUAUGGCUGGGCUUCCAGUUUGCUCCUUUGAUUUGGGAUUGAAGUGAUCUCAAGACGGAAAGAUCUGAGGAACUUCUCUGGCUGGGUCAUGGACCACAUCUGGGUCCAGCUCUGGGCCGUGGGCCAUGGCUGUUAGAAGUUGUGAGACUGAGGGAUCAUCUGAUUUUCUCCAAUGCUUGUGUACCAACCUCUGUGACCCUGGGCAUACCCAGUAUCCAAGCAA